RNAcentral lists this small RNA (406 nucleotides) under Cladophialophora yegresii CBS 114405. Its description in RNAcentral is "A. fumigatus sRNA Afu_309". It matches the Rfam family "A. fumigatus sRNA Afu_309". The record is from Rfam by way of RNAcentral. Lineage: Eukaryota; Fungi; Ascomycota; Eurotiomycetes; Chaetothyriales; Herpotrichiellaceae.
UUUCCUUUCUCAACCACAGUUCUGCGUCACGAACGAUCCCUCCCUGCUUCUCCAAGAAGCAGUGCGAGGUCCGAACGUCCGUGACGAUCUCGACCCUCUGCGCGGAGCACAUUUUAGCCCCCCCAUAAUGUUUAUCUUCCCGGUCGACAGAACUGAGAGCAACCCCUUCUCGAACCUUUCGCCCUGCACAUGCCGUGCGGGCGCAGUCGCGCUCGAGCUCGGUCCUUGAGACGUCGCCUUUGCUUUGAGGUCGUUCGCGCGAUCUUGGCGGGGCUUCCGAACGGGGUACUUUGAUUAGCUCGGCGGGCUGAUGGUCGGGGAGGGGAGACGUCUUAUUCCCAAGCUUGGUGUACAAGCCCCGUCGGGGCAUGAUCAUUGGGCAAAACCAAGACUGUUGUCUACAGAU